RNAcentral lists this ribosomal RNA (492 nucleotides) under uncultured bacterium. RNAcentral's name for it is "partial 16S ribosomal RNA". It matches the Rfam family "Bacterial small subunit ribosomal RNA", at positions 29 to 507 of the family's 1533-position model. The record is from RNAcentral.
AGUGAACGCUGGCGGUAGGCCUAACACAUGCAAGUCGAACGGCAGCACAGUAAGAGCUUGCUCUUACGGGUGGCGAGUGGCGGACGGGUGAGGAAUACAUCGGAAUCUACUUUUUCGUGGGGGAUAACGUAGGGAAACUUACGCUAAUACCGCAUACGACCUACGGGUGAAAGCAGGGGAUCUUCGGACCUUGCGCGAUUGAAUGAGCCGAUGUCGGAUUAGCUAGUUGGCGGGGUAAAGGCCCACCAAGGCGACGAUCCGUAGCUGGUCUGAGAGGAUGAUCAGCCACGCUGGAACUGAGACACGGUCCAGACUCCUACGGGAGGCAGCAGUGGGGAAUAUUGGACAAUGGGCGCAAGCCUGAUCCAGCCAUACCGCGUGGGUGAAGAAGGCCUUCGGGUUGUAAAGCCCUUUUGUUAGGAAAGAAAAGCAGCAGGUUAAUACCCCGCUGUUCUGACGGUACCCAAAGAAUAAGCACCGGCUAACUUCGUG